Molecule: long non-coding RNA, 1983 nt
Organism: Harpia harpyja (harpy eagle)
Lineage: Eukaryota; Metazoa; Chordata; Aves; Accipitriformes; Accipitridae
Exons: 2
Source: RefSeq, a predicted model, not a curated record
ACGUUAAAUAUCCUGGUAAAGCCUACAGACAUCAUAAAUACUAAUAAACCAGUCCUUGUAAACCUCAGUACUUUCUGAUUCAGAACAUUUUAAAAAGCGCUUCAGGGUUUCUGGAGAAAGACUCCAGAAGAUGUACAAUGAUGUAUCCAGGAAAAAAAGCUAUAUACAUUUAGAGAAGAUUUCAUAGUAAGGCUCUAGUUCUCCUUUCUCCAAGUCUGCCCAUAGUUGUACAGUUUCACAGUAAGGUGGAUUUGCUUUCCUCAGGCAGGAGAAAUGCCACAAAGAACUGUUAAAAUAGGAACACAGCAGUGACCUAUUUUCAGUACUUCCAUUCUUAUUUCUAAGUCUAUUAUAUACAGUAUAAUGAACAUUGUAAUGAACAUUCAGCAGUGAAAAGACAUCAAUAACCGACGCAAGCACAUUUGCUCACAUUCCGAAUGCAACAUUAAAAAUCAGCUAGGAGACUGGACAAAACCAGCGAUGGGUCAGAGGCUGACCUGCAGAGCACUUCAACCUGCUUAGGUUAGAGCUAUCUGACCACAUGAAAUGAGUUGGUGACCAGGCCAGAGUGGACACAUGUCAGCCUCUCUUGUUUUAUUUUGUUUACAUAGUGAAAAAACACUGCAGGAGCUUUGACAACUUUAAUGCAUGGCUGCCACGGAUAUGGAUGGAAAAGGCAACGACUAUGGACUUUUUGAAAAGUUGUAUUCAGUAAUGGGAUUGAAUCACAUUGGAGAAGAGGCACAGAGAAGCUUGCAGUGUAUCCUUCCUAAGGGUGUUGUCAUUAUGGUAUUUACAAACACUGAGAUGUGUCAUAGUAACUAAUAUAAAAUAGAACUACCAUCUUUCUACCAUCUCAUCUGCUUCUGAAAGGUCAAUCUUUCUAUUUGAGAGGGGAAAAAAAUCCUUCACCAUUUAGUAGGCUUUUGCAAAGCUGGGAUUAAACUCUUUGAUUCCAAAAGUAAAAACUGGAAGUGAUUUAUUAACAAGCAUGGCUUAUUUUUGCUAGUUUAGCAGCUUUUUCAAGAAAGGUCUGUUUAUCUUUGGCAGCCACUCACAGUUAUGUAGCCUGUCUUCCUCCACAUACAUGUAUUUCUGAGAAAACUUCAAGAAUGCUAGAAUCUGUCAAAAACUAAUCGUCUGACCACGUACUUCCAUUUUACAAUAAACUACUAACUUCUAGGAAGGAACUGCUUUAGAGUAAUUUGGUGUACAAUACAAACUUCUUUGAAGAACUUCAAAGCUGCUGCAAGAGUAAUGGGAACUUCAGGUCAAAAAGAAGUCAGAGAAGAAAACGAAAGGAGGUGAAGAGCUUAGUGAAACAGAAGCAGGUUCUGGAUGUGACCCAAAUAAUUGUCUUGCAAAUGAGAAGAGAGGCAAGAAAGAAACCACUGGAGUGUAAUAACAAAAAUACAGUGAUUGUAAUCGACAUUAACAUAAAAUGGAAGCAACCAAUGUGAACAUACAACUAACAGCAGAAGUCAUGUAUAACAAGAUCUGCAUACUGGCCUUCAUAUUCUGUUGGAUGAUGGUGAAUAUCAUGACUCAUCUAGACAAACGCAGAAUAUAGAAGAGACACUUGUACCAACUGCUUCCUCCCAACAAGGAAAAACUAGUUCUUAGGAUUCAUUUUGUAAAGCAAGUGAUGUGCUUUGCACACCAUCCCAAGCGCUUGCUGCAAAACCGCAUGAGAAAGUCUGAAAAAUGUGCAUGGGACUGGAAAAUAAUGUUUCUGGAUGAGGAGCAGAACCUCUGCUAAUAAGGUCCCACAGUGCACACAGGGCAUAGGCUUCAAGUAUCCUGGGAGACCAGAACCUGUCUGACAGCUUUGGUUUAGGUCCACAGGGGAGGGUACGAAACACAUUGUCAGUUGGGUGCUGCUGACCAGCUACAAAGUAUUUUCAUCUGUCUUUCCUGAAACCAUCUUGGCAAGACAACCCCAAUAAUUACCACCACCUCUCCCCCCUCCUUUUUUUUUUUUUU